RNAcentral lists this ribosomal RNA (629 nucleotides) under uncultured bacterium. RNAcentral's name for it is "bacterial SSU rRNA". It matches the Rfam family "Bacterial small subunit ribosomal RNA", at positions 49 to 677 of the family's 1533-position model. The record is from RNAcentral.
UAAUACAUGCAUGUCGAACGAAGCACUUGUGCUUAGUGGCAAAUGGGCUGAGUAACACGUACUUAAUCUACCCCCAAGUUUGGGAUAACAGUUGGAAACAAUUGCUAAUACCAAAUACAUAUAAGUUUUGCAUAAUUCUUAUAUAAAAGGAGCGUUUGUUUCGCUAGGGGAUGAGAGUGCGCUACAUUAGUUAGUUGGUAGGGUAAGAGCCUACCAAGACUAUGAUGUAUAGCGGGGCUGAGAAGCUGAACCGCCAUACUGGGAUAGAGAUACGGCCCAGACUCCUACGGGAGGCAGCAGUAGGGAAUAUUCCACAAUGAGCGAAAGCUUGAUGGAGCAACACAGCGUGCAGGAAGACGACCUUAGGGUUGUAUACUGCUGUUAUGAGGGAAGAAAAAUAAAAUUAGGAAAUGAAUUUUACAUGACGGUACCUCAUCAGAAAGCACCGGCAAACUAUGUGCCAGCAGCCGCGGUAAUACAUAGGGUGCAAGCGUUAUCCGGAAUUAUUGGGCGUAAAGUGUCUGUAGGUGGUAUGUUAAGUCUAGUGUUAAAGACUAGGGCCCAACCCUAGCACGCUCUAGAUACUGACAUGCUAGAGUCAUAGAGNAGUUAGCGGAACUCCUAGUGAA